UACGUAGGGUGCGAGCGUUAAUCGGAAUUACUGGGCGUAAAGCGUGCGCAGGCGGUGAUGUAUGACAGAUGUUAAAUCCCCGGGCUUAACCUGGGAACUGCAUUUGUGACUGCAUCGCUGGAGUGCGGCAGAGGGGGAUGGAAUUCCGCGUGUAGCAGUGAAAUGCGUAGAUAUGCGGAGGAACACCGAUGGCGAAGGCAAUCCCCUGGGCCUGCACUGACGCUCAUGCACGAAAGCGUGGGGAGCAAACAGG
This 253-nucleotide ribosomal RNA is filed under the name uncultured bacterium. RNAcentral describes it as "partial 16S ribosomal RNA". It matches the Rfam family "Bacterial small subunit ribosomal RNA", at positions 524 to 776 of the family's 1533-position model. The record is from RNAcentral.